CCAGACUCCUACGGGAGGCAGCAGUGAGGAAUAUUGGUCAAUGGGCGAGAGCCUGAACCAGCCAAGUCGCGUGAGGGAGUACUGCCCUAUGGGUUGUAAACCUCUUUUGUCGGGGAGCAAAAGCCGGACGUGUCCGGCUGUGAGAGUACCCGAAGAAAAAGCAUCGGCUAACUCCGUGCCAGCAGCCGCGGUAAUACGUAGGGGGCAAGCGUUAUCCGGAUUUACUGGGUGUAAAGGGAGCGUAGACGGCAUGGCAAGUCAGAUGUGAAAGCCCGGGGCUCAACCCCGGGACUGCAUUUGAAACUGUCAGGCUGGAGUGCAGGAGAGGUAAGUGGAAUUCCUAGUGUAGCGGUGAAAUGCGUAGAUAUUAGGAGGAACACCAGUGGCGAAGGCGGCCUGCUGGACGGUGACUGACGCUGAGGCUCGAAAGCGUGGGGAGCAAACAGGAUUAGAUACCCCAGUAAG
Molecule: ribosomal RNA, 465 nt
Filed under: uncultured bacterium
Lineage: Bacteria
Description: bacterial SSU rRNA
Rfam family: Bacterial small subunit ribosomal RNA
Source: RNAcentral